RNAcentral lists this long non-coding RNA (724 nucleotides) under Athene cunicularia (burrowing owl). RNAcentral's name for it is "lncRNA (ENSACUG00000005057.1)". The record is from RNAcentral. Lineage: Eukaryota; Metazoa; Chordata; Aves; Strigiformes; Strigidae.
GGUUUAGCCUGAUGGUGGAUGAUUCUUCUGCUGCUUGUUGGUAGCAAGUAUUGUCUUUUAUUUGUACCUUCAGGAAAAAAUUUCCUCCACUUGAUUUUUUUUUUUUCCUUUUUGUGGGUAACAAAUUCACAAAUAAGCUAUAAUCAAGUAGAAGAUGAAGCUGCCUGUGUCAUCUUCAGUCUUCUGCUACUGUCCUUUAAAGAAUCACAUUUGGUUUAUGGGGUUAUGGAGAGGAAGAUAGAUGGGAGGGAAUCACCUUUACCCUACAAGAAGUCAUUCUUAAAAGAGGAUGAUUAAAUCAAGUAUGCCAAAAGGCGAGCCAUGCUUUACCUGGAUAUAUAGUACAGACAACAUGCCUAAGGAAAAAGGGAACAGAAGAAUACACAUUACAAUAUUGAUGUGUUUAAUUUAUAAUGAAGACUGUUGCUGUUUCAGCAGUGGUAUUGCUUGUUCUAUUUCUGUCAGAGCAUAUCUUAAGCUGUACAAGGAAAGGCUAAAUCUCCAACUGCUGUAUCAGCUGGGCAUCAUGUCAAAUUAGUGCCUGUUGAAGAUUUUUCUGAGUUUCAAAUAUGAUCUUGAAUUAAAAAUUAAAUCCUAUGUGAAAAAUGUCACUCUGCUGUUUGUCAUCCAUCUAGUUUAUAUAGAGGUCAGACUGGCCUCUUGUAUAUAUAUCUACAUUUUCUCUAAUUCUUUUGGGGCAUGAGGUAUAGCCCUAUGAAAUUGG